RNAcentral lists this unclassified non-coding RNA (222 nucleotides) under Hevea brasiliensis (rubber tree). The record is from RNAcentral. Lineage: Eukaryota; Viridiplantae; Streptophyta; Magnoliopsida; Malpighiales; Euphorbiaceae.
AAAAAGGAUUUUGGUUGUGCAAUUAUCGCAAUAUCAACGGAAACUCAAGUCUUACAAUUCCAAAUACUAAUACUAGGAGCAUAAACAGAACCAUAGUUUGAAGUCUUCGAAGGUAUGUAAACUCAGAAACCAAAACAAAUUAUCAUUACCGACUAACCCAUAUCCGCCAUAGAUCCCUAGUACUCUUCGAUCAACGAUAUGAUUUCUGAAACCUAGCACGAG